UCCAUGCAGUGGCAACACUGCGGAAGACCUAGUGGCGAACGGGUGAGUAACACGUGAGGAACCUGCCCCGAAGACCGGGAUAACCCUCCGAAAGGAGAGCUAAUACCGGAUACCUCCAUCGAGUCGCAUGGCUUGAUGAAGAAAUGGAUUCCGCUUCGGGAGGGCCUCGCGGCCUAUCAGCUUGUUGGUGGGGUAAUGGCCCACCAAGGCUUCGACGGGUAGCUGGUCUGAGAGGACGAUCAGCCACACCGGAACUGAGACACGGUCCGGACUCCUACGGGAGGCAGCAGUGGGGAAUAUUGGACAAUGGGCGCAAGCCUGAUCCAGCGACGCUGCGUGGGUGAAGAAGGCCUGCGGG
This 358-nucleotide ribosomal RNA is filed under the name uncultured bacterium. RNAcentral's name for it is "bacterial SSU rRNA". It matches the Rfam family "Bacterial small subunit ribosomal RNA", at positions 68 to 422 of the family's 1533-position model. The record is from RNAcentral.